RNAcentral lists this ribosomal RNA (253 nucleotides) under uncultured bacterium. RNAcentral's name for it is "partial 16S ribosomal RNA". It matches the Rfam family "Bacterial small subunit ribosomal RNA", at positions 524 to 776 of the family's 1533-position model. The record is from RNAcentral.
UACGUAGGGCGCAAGCGUUAUCCGGAAUUAUUGGGCGUAAAGAGCUCGUAGGCGGUUUGUCGCGUCUGCCGUGAAAGUCCGGGGCUCAACUCCGGAUCUGCGGUGGGUACGGGCAGACUAGAGUGAUGUAGGGGAGACUGGAAUUCCUGGUGUAGCGGUGAAAUGCGCAGAUAUCAGGAGGAACACCUAUGGCGAAGGCAGCUCUCUGGGACGGUACUGACGCUGAGACGCGAAAGCGUGGGGAGCGAACAGG